GAUGAACGCUGGCGGCGUGCCUAAUACAUGCAAGUCGAGCGAACAGACGAGGAGCUUGCUCCUCUGAUGUUAGCGGCGGACGGGUGAGUAACACGUGGAUAACCUACCUAUAAGACUGGGAUAACUUCGGGAAACCGGAGCUAAUACCGGAUAACAUGUUGAACCGCAUGGUUCAACAGUGAAAGACGGUCUUGCUGUCACUUAUAGAUGGAUCCGCGCCGCAUUAGCUAGUUGGUAAGGUAACGGCUUACCAAGGCAACGAUGCGUAGCCGACCUGAGAGGGUGAUCGGCCACACUGGAACUGAGACACGGUCCAGACUCCUACGGGAGGCAGCAGUAGGGAAUCUUCCGCAAAGGGCGAAAGCCUGACGGAGCAACGCCGCGUGAGUGAAGAAGGUCCUCGGAUCGUAAAACUCUGUUAUUAGGGAAGAACAAAUGUGUAAGUAACUAUGCACGUCUUGACGGUACCUAAUCAGAAAGCCACGGCUAACUACGUG
RNAcentral lists this ribosomal RNA (497 nucleotides) under uncultured bacterium. RNAcentral describes it as "partial 16S ribosomal RNA". It matches the Rfam family "Bacterial small subunit ribosomal RNA", at positions 28 to 507 of the family's 1533-position model. The record is from RNAcentral.